RNAcentral lists this ribosomal RNA (403 nucleotides) under uncultured Limnohabitans sp. RNAcentral's name for it is "bacterial SSU rRNA". It matches the Rfam family "Bacterial small subunit ribosomal RNA", at positions 1 to 410 of the family's 1533-position model. The record is from RNAcentral. Lineage: Bacteria; Pseudomonadati; Pseudomonadota; Betaproteobacteria; Burkholderiales; Comamonadaceae.
CGCUGAGUUUGAUCCUGGCUCAGAUUGAACGCUGGCGGAAUGCUUUACACAUGCAAGUCGAACGGUAGAGGGGGCAACCCCUUGAGAGUGGCGAACGGGUGAGUAAUAUAUCGGAACGUGCCCAGUCGUGGGGGAUAACGUAGCGAAAGUUACGCUAAUACCGCAUACGAUCUAAGGAUGAAAGCGGGGGAUCGAAAGACCUCGCGCGAUUGGAGCGGCCGAUGUCAGAUUAGCUAGUUGGUGGGGUAAAGGCCCACCAAGGCGACGAUCUGUAGCUGGUCUGAGAGGACGACCAGCCACACUGGGGACUGAGACACGGUCCAGACUCCUACGGGAGGCAGCAGUAGGGGAAUUUUGGGGCAAUGGACGCAAGUCUGACCCAGCCAUGCCCGCGUGCAGGAUG